CGUGCAGGCGGUUCCGUAAGUCGGACGUGAAAGCUCCUGGCUUAACUAGGAGAGGCCGUUCGAUACUGCGGGGCUUGAGGUCGGGAGAGGGACGUGGAAUUCCCGGUGUAGUGGUGGAAUGCGUAGAUAUCGGGAGGAACACCAGUGGCGAAGGCGGCGUCCUGGCCCGCACCUGACGCUAAGACGCGAAAGCGUGGGGAGCGAACG
RNAcentral lists this ribosomal RNA (207 nucleotides) under uncultured bacterium. Its description in RNAcentral is "partial 16S ribosomal RNA". It matches the Rfam family "Bacterial small subunit ribosomal RNA", at positions 568 to 774 of the family's 1533-position model. The record is from RNAcentral.